GCUUGUCUCAAAGAUUAAGCCAUGCAUGUCUUAGUGUAAAUAACUCUUAUGAAACUGCGAAUGGCUCAUUAAAUCAGUUAUCAAAUACGUGAUGGUCGCCUACUACAUGGAUAACCGUAGUAAUUCUAGAGCUAAUACAUGCACAAAGGCCCAACUUCGGGAGGGGUGUAUUUAUUAGAUAAAAAACCAACGCCCUUCGGGGCUUCUUGGUGAUUCAUGAUAACUUCACGGAUCGCAUGGCCUUGCGCCGGCGACGGUUCAUUCAAAUUUCUGCCCUAUCAACUUUCGAUGGUAAGGUAUUGGCUUACCAUGGUUUCAACGGGUAACGGGGAAUUAGGGUUCGAUUCCGGAGAGGGAGCCUGAGAAACGGCUACCACAUCCAAGGAAGGCAGCAGG
RNAcentral lists this ribosomal RNA (396 nucleotides) under Microsphaeropsis olivacea. RNAcentral's name for it is "partial small subunit ribosomal RNA". It matches the Rfam family "Eukaryotic small subunit ribosomal RNA", at positions 30 to 432 of the family's 1831-position model. Lineage: Eukaryota; Fungi; Ascomycota; Dothideomycetes; Pleosporales; Didymellaceae. The record is from RNAcentral.